This 496-nucleotide ribosomal RNA is filed under the name uncultured bacterium. RNAcentral's name for it is "partial 16S ribosomal RNA". It matches the Rfam family "Bacterial small subunit ribosomal RNA", at positions 29 to 507 of the family's 1533-position model. The record is from RNAcentral.
ACGAACGCUGGCGGCGUGCCUAAUACAUGCAAGUAGAACGCUGAAGAGAGGAGCUUGCUCUUCUUGGAUGAGUUGCGAACGGGUGAGUAACGCGUAGGUAACCUGCCUUGUAGCGGGGGAUAACUAUUGGAAACGAUAGCUAAUACCGCAUAACAAUGGAUGACACAUGUCAUUUAUUUGAAAGGGGCAAUUGCUCCACUACAAGAUGGACCUGCGUUGUAUUAGCUAGUAGGUGAGGUAAUGGCUCACCUAGGCGACGAUACAUAGCCGACCUGAGAGGGUGAUCGGCCACACUGGGACUGAGACACGGCCCAGACUCCUACGGGAGGCAGCAGUAGGGAAUCUUCGGCAAUGGGGGCAACCCUGACCGAGCAACGCCGCGUGAGUGAAGAAGGUUGUCGGAUCGUAAAGCUCUGUUGUAAGUCAAGAACGGGUGUGAGAGUGGAAAGUUCACACUGUGACGGUAGCUUACCAGAAAGGGACGGCUAACUACGUG